UACGGAGGGGGCGAGCGUUAUUCGGAAUUAUUGGGCGUAAAGGGCGCGUAGGCGGCUGGGCAAGUCAAAGGUGAAAUCCCUCGGCUCAACUGAGGAACUGCCUUUGAAACUGCCUGGCUUGAGGCCGGGAGGGGGUAGCGGAAUUCCCAGUGUAGCGGUGAAAUGCGUAGAUAUUGGGAGGAACACCAGUGGCGAAGGCGGCUACCUGGACCGGUACUGGCGCUGAUGCGCGAAAGCGUGGGUAGCAAACAGG
RNAcentral lists this ribosomal RNA (253 nucleotides) under uncultured bacterium. RNAcentral's name for it is "partial 16S ribosomal RNA". It matches the Rfam family "Bacterial small subunit ribosomal RNA", at positions 524 to 776 of the family's 1533-position model. The record is from RNAcentral.